Molecule: ribosomal RNA, 1346 nt
Filed under: uncultured bacterium
Lineage: Bacteria
Description: bacterial SSU rRNA
Rfam family: Bacterial small subunit ribosomal RNA
Source: RNAcentral
GACGAACGCUGGCGGCGUGCUUAACACAUGCAAGUCGAACGGAAAGGCCCUGCUUUUGUGGGGUGCUCGAGUGGCGAACGGGUGAGUAACACGUGAGUAACCUGCCCUUGACUUUGGGAUAACUUCAGGAAACUGGGGCUAAUACCGGAUAGGAGCUCCUGCUGCAUGGUGGGGGUUGGAAAGUUUCGGCGGUUGGGGAUGGACUCGCGGCUUAUCAGCUUGUUGGUGGGGUAGUGGCUUACCAAGGCUUUGACGGGUAGCCGGCCUGAGAGGGUGACCGGCCACAUUGGGACUGAGAUACGGCCCAGACUCCUACGGGAGGCAGCAGUGGGGAAUAUUGCACAAUGGGCGGAAGCCUGAUGCAGCAACGCCGCGUGCGGGAUGACGGCCUUCGGGUUGUAAACCGCUUUCGCCUGUGACGAAGCGUGAGUGACGGUAAUGGGUAAAGAAGCACCGGCUAACUACGUGCCAGCAGCCGCGGUGAUACGUAGGGUGCGAGCGUUGUCCGGAUUUAUUGGGCGUAAAGGGCUCGUAGGUGGUUGAUCGCGUCGGAAGUGUAAUCUUGGGGCUUAACCCUGAGCGUGCUUUCGAUACGGGUUGACUUGAGGAAGGUAGGGGAGAAUGGAAUUCCUGGCGGAGCGGUGGAAUGCGCAGAUAUCAGGAGGAACACCAGUGGCGAAGGCGGUUCUCUGGGCCUUUCCUGACGCUGAGGAGCGAAAGCGUGGGGAGCGAACAGGCUUAGAUACCCUGGUAGUCCACGCUGUAAACGGUGGGUACUAGGUGUGGGGUCCAUUCCACGGGUUCCGUGCCGUAGCUAACGCUUUAAGUACCCCGCCUGGGGAGUACGGCCGCAAGGCUAAAAUUCAAAGGAAUUGACGGGGCCCCGCACAAGCGGCGGAGCAUGCGGAUUAAUUCGAUGCAACGCGUAGAACCUUACCUGGGUUUGACAUGGAUCGGGAGCGCUCAGAGAUGGGUGUGCCUCUUUUGGGGUCGGUUCACAGGUGGUGCAUGGCUGUCGUCAGCUCGUGUCGUGAGAUGUUGGGUUAAGUCCCGCAACGAGCGCAACCCUUGUUCACUGUUGCCAGCACGUUAUGGUGGGGACUCAGUGGAGACCGCCGGGGUCAACUCGGAGGAAGGUGGGGAUGACGUCAAGUCAUCAUGCCCCUUAUGUCCAGGGCUUCACGCAUGCUACAAUGGCUGGUACAGAGAGUGGCGAGCCUGUGAGGGUGAGCGAAUCUCGGAAAGCCGGUCUCAGUUCGGAUUGGGGUCUGCAACUCGACCUCAUGAAGUCGGAGUCGCUAGUAAUCGCAGAUCAGCAACGCUGCGGUGAAUACGUUCCCGGGGCU